Molecule: ribosomal RNA, 113 nt
Filed under: Cupriavidus sp. P-10
Lineage: Bacteria; Pseudomonadati; Pseudomonadota; Betaproteobacteria; Burkholderiales; Burkholderiaceae
Source: RNAcentral
UGGUGACCAUAGCGAGCUGGAACCACCCCUUCCCAUCCCGAACAGGACCGUGAAACAGCUCCGCGCCGAUGAUAGUGCGGAUUACCCGUGUGAAAGUAGGUCAUCGCCAGGCU